CGGUUCCAACUUAAAUAAAAAAAUAUAAAAAGUAAGGCUUAUCCUUCAGUUUGUUUUCUUCUUCUCCGCCCAAAUGUCUCUCAUCUCAUCGACAUCAUCUCUCUCUCACGGCUCACCAAGGUGUGAAAAUUGGUUAUCAGUUGAAGCAGACUGCAGACCGACUAGAGAAAUAAAGAGGGUAAGAACCGCUGCAUGCUUUGCUUUGCUAUGUGGUUUGUGUUUGUGUGUGUAUAUAAAUAGAAAUAGAAAUAGAAGUGCUCGAUAAUUAGGUGAAGGAUGGCACGUUUUUUUUUUUAUUACUUUUUUGUGGUCUGAACUCGGCUGGAGCUUGGAGGGGAGGGGAGUAAUCUACGGGUUUUGAUGACUCAGACUCACCCCUUCAAGAUAAUUAAUUAACAGGUAAUUUACUAUGUAUAUCUUAAUUAGAAAUAAAUUCAUAAGAAGAAAACAAAUUACUUUGGAAAUUGUGAUUUUGGUUUUACAAUCUGAACGGAAUGAAGGAAGGAUACUUAUGGUAUGUUGUUUGGUUAAAAAUAUAUACAAAUAGGUUUAUUUUUUUUAAAAUAAAUUGAUUGAUUUUACAUAUUUAUUAAAUAUUAUAUAUAAUAUAUAAUAAUAAUUAAUAUAUUUAAUUAUUUAUUAUUUAUUACAUAUUAAUGCACUCACUCGUCAAUAACGGUUCGAUUACUGAUUGGAUCAGUUGUGACCCAUCCAUCCCAUACCUUUUUUCAGUUUGAUUACCGAUCCGAGUUUGAAAAUCUUGCUCUAAAAAAAAGAUUUGCAAAACACAUACCAGAGUUUGAGAGUUAUGGGAAUUAGAAUUUGCAUAAAAUGAUAUGCGGAUUAAGAAAUUUUGAUUUCCCACCACAAAAAUGCAGUGACAUGAUAUGCUCACGCAAUCUACUUUAUCCGUACAAACAGAUAAGUGGAUUUGAUAUUCAUGGAACUUGAAUAUUAAGAAGUAGAGCAAAUGAAGAAAGUGCAAGCUCGAAGAUCCGCCAGGAAAUGAGAUCUCCAUGAGUGCAAAGUGGACUCAUAAUUAUGAGUUUGUGGUAUAAAUUGUGUGCAAAUAAAUGGACUACUUUUAUACCGUUUGUUCUAAACAUAAAACCUGGUGGUCAGGUCAUUACAGCAAUUGUUCAUAACAUCAUUCAGUUGCAACCUGAUGAAUAGAGUGAUGCCUUGAUUGAACUAAGAUACUCUUGUUGCUUAAUUAAUUAAUGAAAAAGCAUGCAGUCGAACCAUGGUCGUUUCUAAAUCUAAAUCAAACAUGCAAGAUAAAAAUGUGAUGCAAAAAAUAAAUAAAUACGUAUAUCAUCAUGCCAGAAAAAGGUGCUAAAUGUACCAUGCAUACUCCCUCAAAACUCAAUGUUUCACAAGAUUUAUGACAAAUCAAUGUUUGUAACUGUACCAGCAGCUAGCUAGAAUUUCACAUAUAAAUACAUUACAAGGUCCAAUGUUACAUUCAAUUAUGAGCCAUGAACAUAGAGGAGGAAAUAUGGUAGCAAUCAGCAUAAAUAAUUUACAUUAGGUAGAAACUUAUUUAUGAUUUUAAAACUUAGGCACUGGGAUAUGAAGCUUCCAUUGCUAUGCCACAGAGUCCUUCCUUGGCUUCAACACCUCUUUGCAUCCUUAUGUACCCUUGUUCUCCCCAACUCGUUCCCCAUGAGUUCUUCACAAGUCAAUACUUAGUUCCAUCACUACUAGUACCAUAGCCAACAGCAGUAACACCAUGGUAUAGAUCAGUGCCACACUGUCUUGUAAAGACGCCACUCGAGUAGAACUGAAAGUCAGAUCCCCCAGCAUCAAUGGCAACAGAGAUUGGUUGAUUGGCAACAGCUUUCAGCAGUGCACUCUCACUAUUGGCAGGCACAUCUCCGUGGCCAGUAUGUUAAAAUAUUUUAUUUCCUUGUGUGGCCUCUACUAUUUAUUUAAUUAUUGGGCUUACAUAUUGUAUUAAUUUAAUUACUUUAUUUAUAGGUUUGGUAAUAAAUUAUGUGUCCUAUAAAUUAUAUUCGUAAUAGUAUUUGGCAUAAUGGGCCCUAGGGUUUAAUAAUCUUGAUGGACGAUUUUGACCCUUAGCUAUUCUAUAAAUAAAACAGUUAGGGUUUGAUCCCAAUUGUGUCUCAAGAAUUUUAUUUACACACCUAUACAUCCAUCCUAAGAUUGAGAGAGAUAAUUGAAGACCUUCAUCCUUAAGCGCAGCGGAAGCGUGAUACAUACAAGACGUCUUCUCUCAAUUCAUGUAAGUACUUAAUAUUAUGAUCAAUUGAUUUUAUUUUAUUCUAUGCAAUAGCAUGUUCCUGUAUAAUUUAUUCAACAUCUGGUAUCAAAGCGUGGUUACGGUAUUUUAUAGAAUAAAUUAAUUACGUAUUAAUUAUGCUAGAAUUUUAAUUUUGCAUAAUCUCUUUAUGGGUACAAUAUUAUUUAGAGAUAAAAGCAUCCUGAAUUCUAGAAAUUUGAUACAUAUAUAAUAAUAAACAUUAAGUACUGCUUGAAUUUUUCAAUACGAAAGCUUGUGAGCUGUGAAC
RNAcentral lists this long non-coding RNA (2531 nucleotides) under Panax ginseng (ginseng). RNAcentral's name for it is "long non-coding RNA (PGIN_LNC015905)". Lineage: Eukaryota; Viridiplantae; Streptophyta; Magnoliopsida; Apiales; Araliaceae. The record is from RNAcentral.